Long non-coding RNA from Lolium rigidum, 620 nucleotides. RefSeq lists it as uncharacterized. The record is from RefSeq and is a predicted model, not a curated record. The transcript has 2 exons. NCBI's taxonomy places the organism in Eukaryota, Viridiplantae, Streptophyta, Magnoliopsida, Poales, Poaceae.
GCUCAUAUAAACAAGAAAAAUAAAGAGGCCAACGUUGCCAUCAGCAAGAAACACAAAAACUGCGUUGUCUACAGAAAAAUCUUCCAUGGCUUCUCCAUCUGGCGAAUCACCAAAUACAACAGCAGAUAGGCGCCAAACCAAGCAAAGACAUCAUAGAUGAUGUCAGCUCUGUGUCUGAAAGGAAGAAGAGGAAGGCCACUGCCUCAGAUUCUGCAUUGGCUAAGAAACAGGUCAGCAAGGCGUUCUUCCCACGCCAAUAAAGAUGAUGUCACUUGCCAGUAAGAAUAAACCUCAAAACAGCGGUUAUCCAGAAGCAAUGCAGUUGUAAGAAAAUACUCAACUUUACCUUUCUCUUCGCUUUCGCACCCACACAUAUCCUCAGUUCCAAGAAAAGGUCAAUACAGACAGAGAAUAGAAAGAUUGGUUAAGGGCAGAUUUCAUAGACUACUACUGAUCUGCUAUGUGUAAUAUUAUGGAGCUACCGACUACUCUAGACAAUAUGUGCUUUUAAUGCAUUGUGGUAUGACGGAGUAGGUGUGACCCAUCUGUGUGUAAUAACAUAAGAUGUAAUCCAAUGUUCCACAAUAGCACGAAGCUAUCUACCGCUCCAGCAGCAACAA